Molecule: long non-coding RNA, 1979 nt
Organism: Topomyia yanbarensis
Lineage: Eukaryota; Metazoa; Arthropoda; Insecta; Diptera; Culicidae
Exons: 2
Source: RefSeq, a predicted model, not a curated record
GAAAUAUUCGAACCGAACCUAUGUUCGAAUACUUUCAAAGCACGAAGCUUUGCGUUAUUGGUUCGUAUACACAAGCUUCGCAUCACAAUCGCUUACCAUCGUAAUUGCGGACAUUUGGGCGAUACUUUUGCAUGCUCUUCGGCGAGGACAAAUGAAGCUUCUUGUUCAUUUCAUUGAUGUUCGGAAAGAUAUGUAAAAGCUUUUGCGUAGUUUUCGACGAACACGAGCUAAGCUCUUGGUUCGUGUGAUCGAUAUUUUUGAAACAUUUACAUGGAGCUUCGAAACGAUAUUCGCGAACACAGAAAAUAAGAUUACCUCGAAGUAUUUCAGAAUCACGAACAUCGAAAGAUUAUAUCAAUUUAGCAUCGCGAGGGCCAUCGUUAACAUGUUCGCCGGACGAUAUUAGUUUUCUUUAUUCAAAUACCUACCUACUAGCUAUGCAAAAAAAGUAUAUUCUAGACAGAGGCCUUGUAUUAAGAAUGGAAUAGGUGAAAAAUAAUUGUGACAAUGUGUAGCUUAUGAAUGCUGGGGUUAACUGAAAAGUGACGUAACAAGUUUAUUUAAGAUACCCUACUGAUAUAUUACCAGUAGGGAUAAAAUCAAGAUUUCGCUACAGGGCGGGGAUAAAUUUUCAAAUGAAAUAAAUUAGGGCUAGAAAAUGAAGUUAAAUGCAAUGUACACAACGUAUUGAGUGGCUCGCUUAUCUUAGUCAUGUUCCUAUAGUCACCUACCAGUUACGUCAGUUUCUUGAGGAUAAAGAUAUCGAUAUCCAUUCAAAGGAAAAAAUCGAUUAUCAGUUAAAUAAAUAACGUCAUGAUGUGUAUGAUUAAUCCUAGAAAUAAAUAGGGAAUGUCAAUAAACUUUAUUAUUCCAUAUCAACAUUUGAAUAGGGCUAAUAAGAUUUGUGAACAAACUUUUGUUUUGCUGAUUUCUCUUAUGUGGUUUUUGUUUGAGGCGAAACUGAGUCAGUUCCUAACCCCAACUGCUGUCAAAAUGUAUGAACUGACAGCGGUUGGGGUUAGAACCUGACUCAGUUUCAGGUUCAAGCGAAAUCGCCAUUAAUUUGUUAUCAUUUCAACACAGAAAACAUUUGAAAUCGAUUCUACCAAGGGCAAAGAUGUUGAUUCAUGUGUAUUUUUCAUAAAAUUCAACUCUGUAGCGGAAAAAUGAGCGAAAUAAGUUUGUUUACAAAAGUCUCAUUAGCCCUUUUGAAGAAUUACUAUUGUAUUGAUCUAAAAUAUGGGUCUUCAAUAUAAUAUAUCAAAAUAUGGAAUGCGGCAAAAAGCGAAUAAUAAUGGAAAGACAGUAUUCGAAAAAGUUCGAGUUUAGAACGACUUUCAUUCUACUUGGAGUUAUUUAUUUCGCUUCUCAUUUUCCGAGAUUUCCCUUACAUAAAGCAUUUCGGCUAUAACUGAGUCAAAAAAAAUACAGGGGGCCCUAAGUAUUUCUUUCAUUUAUUUUUUAUUAGUAAAAGUCAAAUAAGGAAAGAUUACAUCAUAGAGAAGAUAAACCAAAUUUUGUCCUUUUCAGAAUUGUUUUUGGAUUUCCAACAAAAAAAAAAUCACUAGAACAUUGUAAGUUUUUUGCGUUUCUCCAUCAGUAAUUAGUUAACAAAUACAAUACAAACAAUUUGGAAUAUCCUUUUCAUUAUUUAUAACAAAACACAUGUACAGGAGUCAGGAAAUAAAUUUCAUAAAAGUGGAACAUGUAAUAAGUUUAACACUUCAUUUAUUAAGUGAACAGAUUCUGUCGAAAAUGUUUGAAAAUAAAUAUUUUGUCUCUUGUGAUUAGGUAAUCAACCAAUAAACUUAUAAAACAAUAUUAUAAAAAUCAUUUGGAAGCUUUCCUCUUGGUUUGGUACAGGUGCCUGGAAUGCAACAUUAUAAUUCAACUAAUGACAAUAAUAAUGGAUUCAAGUAUGUAGGUACUAGGUUAAUAAAUUCAUUUGGUAAAAUUAAAAAUAACGUUUAACACACAAA